RNAcentral lists this ribosomal RNA (496 nucleotides) under uncultured bacterium. RNAcentral describes it as "partial 16S ribosomal RNA". It matches the Rfam family "Bacterial small subunit ribosomal RNA", at positions 29 to 507 of the family's 1533-position model. The record is from RNAcentral.
AUGAACGCUGGCGGCGUGCCUAAUACAUGCCAGUCGAGCGAACAGAUGAGGAGCUUGCUCCUCUGACGUUAGCGGCGGACGGGUGAGUAACACGUGGAUAACCUACCUAUAAGACUGGGAUAACUUCGGGAAACCGGAGCUAAUACCGGAUAAUAUAUUGAACCGCAUGGUUCAAUAGUGAAAGACGGUUUUGCUGUCGCUUAUAGAUGGAUCCGCGCCGCAUUAGCUAGUUGGUAAGGUAACGGCUUACCAAGGCAACGAUGCGUAGCCGACCUGAGAGGGUGAUCGGCCACACUGGAACUGAGACACGGUCCAGACUCCUACGGGAGGCAGCAGUAGGGAAUCUUCCGCAAUGGGCGAAAGCCUGACGGAGCAACGCCGCGUGAGUGAUGAAGGUCUUCGGAUCGUAAAACUCUGUUAUUAGGGAAGAACAAAUGUGUAAGUAACUAUGCACGUCUUGACGGUACCUAAUCAGAAAGCCACGGCUAACUACGUG